RNAcentral lists this ribosomal RNA (468 nucleotides) under uncultured bacterium. RNAcentral's name for it is "partial 16S ribosomal RNA". It matches the Rfam family "Bacterial small subunit ribosomal RNA", at positions 28 to 507 of the family's 1533-position model. The record is from RNAcentral.
GACGAACGCUGGCGGCGUGCUUAACACAUGCAAGUCGAACGGAAAGGCCCUGCUUUUGUGGGGUGCUCGAGUGGCGAACGGGUGAGUAACACGUGAGUAACCUGCCCUUGACUGUGGGAUAACUUAAGGAAACUGGGGCUAAUACCGGAUAGGAGCUAUUGCUGCAUGGUGGGGGUUGGAAAGUUUCGGUGGUUGGGGAUGGACUGGCGGCUUAUCAGCUUGUUGGUGGGGUAGUGGCUUACCAAGGCAUUGAGGGGUAGCCGACCUGGGAGGGUAACCUGCCACAAUAGGACUGAGAUACGGCCCAGCCUCCUACGGGACGCAACGGUGGAGAAUAUUACACAGUGGGCUGGAGCCUGGUGUGACAACGCCGCGUGGGGUAAGUGAGGCUUCGGGUUGUGAACCACUGUCGUCUUAGACGAGACGUUAGUGACGGUAAUGGGUAAAUAAGCACCGGCUAACUACGUG